CAAAGGGGUACGGAUUGCCUGAAGAUUGGACGGUGAUUUUUCAAUUUAUUUUUUAUUAUUAUUUUGCUCUUCUUGUCGUGAUAUCGUUUAUAAUGUGUUGUGCAGCUGGGCAAAUAAACGAUCCACUCACGUUUCCCUCGGAUUAUCACAAUGAUUUCCAAAGCCCGCGAAAAUCAAAUUUUAUCGAAAACAUAGCGGUCUUUUUAGUUUUUUUUCUACUGUACGGUCUAAAUUACUCGUUCCUUAAAAACGAAAAUAAUAAGCACCAAAAAAGAACA
Non-coding RNA from Cinara cedri, 278 nucleotides. The record is from the annotation of a GenBank genome assembly. NCBI's taxonomy places the organism in Eukaryota, Metazoa, Arthropoda, Insecta, Hemiptera, Aphididae.